RNAcentral lists this ribosomal RNA (419 nucleotides) under uncultured bacterium. RNAcentral describes it as "bacterial SSU rRNA". It matches the Rfam family "Bacterial small subunit ribosomal RNA", at positions 8 to 425 of the family's 1533-position model. The record is from RNAcentral.
AGAGUUUGAUCCUGGCUCAGAUUGAACGCUGGCGGCAUGCCUUACACAUGCAAGUCGAACGGCAGCGCGGGGGGUAACUCCUGGCGGCGAGUGGCGAACGGGUGAGUAAUAUAUCGGAACGUGCCCUGGAGUGGGGGAUAACUAGUCGAAAGAUUAGCUAAUACCGCAUACGAUCUACGGAUGAAAGUGGGGGAUUCGCAAGAACCUCAUGCUCGUGGAGCGGCCGAUAUCUGAUUAGCUAGUUGGUAGGGUAAAAGCCUACCAAGGCGACGAUCAGUAGCUGGUUUGAGAGAACGGCCAGCCACACUGGGACUGAGACACGGCCCAGACUCCUACGGGAGGCAGCAGUGGGGAAUUUUGGACAAUGGGGGCAACCCUGAUCCAGCAAUGCCGCGUGUGUGAAGAAGGCCUUCGGGUUG